GAUGAACGCUGGCGGCGUGCUUAACACAUGCAAGUCGAACGGGAAACCUUUUAUUGAAGCUUCGGCAGAUUUAGCUGGUUUCUAGUGGCGGACGGGUGAGUAACGCGUGGGUAACCUGCCUUAUACAGGGGGAUAACAACCAGAAAUGGUUGCUAAUACCGCAUAAGCGCACAGGACCGCAUGGUCCGGUGUGAAAAACUCCGGUGGUAUAAGAUGGACCCGCGUUGGAUUAGCUAGUUGGCAGGGUAACGGCCUUCCAAGGCGACGAUCCAUAGCCGGCCUGAGAGGGUGAACGGCCACAUUGGGACUGAGACACGGCCCAGACUCCUACGGGAGGCAGCAGUGGGGAAUAUUGCACAAUGGGGGAAACCCUGAUGCAGCGACGCCGCGUGAAGGAAGAAGUAUCUCGGUAUGUAAACUUCUAUCAGCAGGGAAGAUAGUGACGGUACCUGACUAAGAAGCCCCGGCUAACUACGUG
RNAcentral lists this ribosomal RNA (478 nucleotides) under uncultured bacterium. RNAcentral describes it as "partial 16S ribosomal RNA". It matches the Rfam family "Bacterial small subunit ribosomal RNA", at positions 28 to 507 of the family's 1533-position model. The record is from RNAcentral.